GGCAGCAGGCAGAGACAAUCCAUCGCCGCCAACCGGCGAUUGAUUGCUUGGGGCUGAGAGCGAGGGCGGGGGAGAGCCUCCGCUGCGGGGCGGGGACCCGCCGGGCGCGAGCCUGCCGGCGCUGCGCGAGGGGGCGGGGCGGCGGCGGGGGCCCGCGACCGUUAAAGGCGUUGGAAGGCGGCGCGCGCGGGAGCGGCGCCUCAGGGCGGGUGGGGCGCUUGCAGCGGGAGGCGCUGCGCUGCCAGUAAUGUGCUUGUCACCUCGGAGACCAUUAAGAUAAUUUGGUAGUAAUGACUUGGUAAUAAUAUUUGUAUAGCUGAGCUAGAUAGCGUCCUUUUGUGUCAGUAGUGAGGAACGGUUACUGCUCUUAGGCUCUUUKUCUGGUGUUGAACUUCUCGUGUGCCCCAAAAUGUUUGAAACUCAGUCCCUCARACUUUUUAGGGAAGGUAUAUUUUCUAGUUAGUUGCCUGGUUUUGUAGUCUUUAAAAUAAAGCUGAGUUUUGAGUCAAAGUUAUAUUCUCUUUUCAAGUUUGUUAGUUGUUAUUCUAAUUGUGACUCUCCCAAAUCUUAAUAAAUUCCAUUUCAGUUGUAUGUGUAUUCUCCAAGCCCCAUCUGCAUUGUUUUACUAGUUUAAGUCAGUAAAUACAAGUAGCUUUAUCUGUUACUGUGAGAGUUUAGUUUUUCUGAACUGGUUUCCUGGAAAUCUUGUUUCCCAGCUCACAUCUGAGGGUAAGCAGGCCUUCCGUGUCAGAUGGGGACUCCUGCAGCGUGGCCUGUGUGCCCAAAUGUACUUGCUCCAAGUAAGGAGGCUUCCCUCUUUAAUAUGCCGGCACGCCUGUGGCUUUUGUCUCUAAGGAAGGAAGGUGGUUCUGGGGCAAAGCAUGCAUUCUUGCAGUGAAGAGGGAACUGCGUUGUCUGCUACCCGUAUAGCGGUGAUGAAAAACUUUGUUCUUCGGAGGCGUUGAAGGAAAGUAGAAUGCAGCGUGGAUUGCAUUUGAAGUUCAUCUGAUUUACGUA
This is a long non-coding RNA of Dromaius novaehollandiae (emu), 1017 nucleotides long. NCBI's taxonomy places the organism in Eukaryota, Metazoa, Chordata, Aves, Casuariiformes, Dromaiidae. The record is from Ensembl.